RNAcentral lists this ribosomal RNA (440 nucleotides) under uncultured bacterium. RNAcentral describes it as "partial 16S ribosomal RNA". It matches the Rfam family "Bacterial small subunit ribosomal RNA", at positions 338 to 795 of the family's 1533-position model. The record is from RNAcentral.
CCUACGGGUGGCAGCAGUGGGGAAUAUUGCACAAUGGGGGAAACCCUGAUGCAGCGACGCCGCGUGAGUGAGGAAGUAUUUCGGUAUGUAAAGCUCUAUCAGCAGGGAAGAAAAUGACGGUACCUGACUAAGAAGCCCCGGCUAACUACGUGCCAGCAGCCGCGGUAAUACGUAGGGGGCAAGCGUUAUCCGGAUUUACUGGGUGUAAAGGGAGCGUAGACGGCUAAUCAAGUCAGAAGUGAAAACCCGGGGCUCAACCUUGGGAGUGCUUUUGAAACUGAGUAGCUAGAGUGCAGGAGAGGUAAGCGGAAUUCCUAGUGUAGCGGUGAAAUGCGUAGAUAUUAGGAGGAACACCAGUGGCGAAGGCGGCUUACUGGACUGUAACUGACGUUGAGGCUCGAAAGCGUGGGGAGCAAACAGGAUUAGAUACCCGAGUAGUC